RNAcentral lists this non-coding RNA (99 nucleotides) under Acidobacteriota bacterium. RNAcentral describes it as "Acidobacteria bacterium c-di-GMP sequence". It matches the Rfam family "c-di-GMP-I-GGC riboswitch aptamer". Lineage: Bacteria; Pseudomonadati; Acidobacteriota. The record is from RNAcentral.
UGAAACAAAGCCAAACCCUGCGUGAGCAGGGGACGGAAAGCCACGGGUCUUUCGUAAGACCAAGCUACUUCAGGGUGAAAGAAGGCCGAGUUGCCGUAG